Molecule: unclassified non-coding RNA, 1270 nt
Filed under: Hevea brasiliensis (rubber tree)
Lineage: Eukaryota; Viridiplantae; Streptophyta; Magnoliopsida; Malpighiales; Euphorbiaceae
Source: RNAcentral
GCAGGUUCUUAUCCAACCAUGUAUUAGGUCAAAGCAUUGAAAACAUAACCAGCCCGGGAGGAAUAACAGCAACACAAGCUUGUAACGAAAUUCUAAACAGAAUUCCAAAAAUGGAACAUCAAAACUCUCAAACUCAUGAGAAACAAAGAGAAUCCAGAUACAUUUUCAAGAACAAUCUAAACGUCUUUAAUGGAGACUAUAGCCAAAAAGCUUGCCUAGAUGCAAUUCCUAGUAACGCCCAAUACCCCAAACCCUAAUCAAACCAUCUGUAUAUCCGCUGAAAAGUGUGCUUCCAUCAGCACUCCAACUCAAACUGGUACAGUAAAUGACCUUGGUUUUUGGUGCAGUUCCACUCUCGUUAGCCAUCUCACUCUCAUGCUUGAGAUCAACUUUAAGGUCAACCACGAUGCUCUUGCUCUCCAAGUCCCAAAUCUUAAUGCUAGACUCGGUGGCUGCGCAGAGCCAGUACCUGUUAGGACUAAAGCAGAGAGUAUGAAUGAUGGAGCCAGCGUCAAGGGAGUAGAGCUUCUUCCCCUCAGCCAAAUCCCAGAGCAAAAUAACUCCAUCCUUGCCACCACUAGCGCACAAGGAACCAUCAGGUGACACUGCCACAGUGUUCACAUAGCCAGAGUGUCCAGCAAGAGUCGAACGCAGCUUACAGUUGGUGAGGUUCCAGAUUUUCACAGUACGAUCCCAGGAACCAGAAACAAUAGUUGGCUGGAGAGUGUUUGGGCUGAAACGCACACACGAAACCCAAUCGGAGUGUGAGUCUCCGUCCUGAAUGGUGUAUUUACACUCACCGAGAGUGUUCCACAACUUGAUAGACUUGUCCCGUGAAGCGGACACAAUCUGACGGUUAUCAACGGAAAAAGCAACGGAGAGAACAUCCUUAGUGUGACCAACAAAACGGCGAGCAGUAGUGCCGGCUUGAAGAUCCCAAAGGCGAAGCUCUCCAUCCCAAGAACCAGAGAGAGCAAACAUACCGUCGGAGGAGAGAACAACAUCCUGAACAAAGUGGCCGUGGCCUGUGAGACGGCGGCGGGGGACACCGUACUGUGCGCCAUCCUUGGUGAGAGACCAGACAAUGAUGGACUUGUCCCUGGAGGAAGUAACAAUCAUGUCAGAGUUAUCAAUUGGGGUGGCGAUGGCAGUGACCCAAUCGGUGUGGGCUUUCAUGGUGCCGCGAAGGACAAGUGAUUCUUGCGCCAUUUUGUCAAGCAAGGUGGUCGCCGCUCCGGUUAUCCUCUGAAAGGCAAGUGAGACGACGAUA